AACCAUAAAACAGUAAAGUUUUAACGCGUUUUUUUAAAUACUACAACUUUGUAAUACUGCGCAAUUUUAAAGAUGCACGGAAUUUAGUUAGUAAAAAGGAAAAAAAAAAGAAUUCUUCGGAAGGAUCUUCGGUGUAUUCGAAAUUUCGAAGAGAUUCAUUCCAUCGAAAUCGCAAUUUCAUUUGUUCGAAUUUUCAAUUUUCUAAAUAUAUAUCGCACCGAGAAUAUUUUGCAUUAUUCCCCGAUCGGCGGGAAUAAUUAAUAGAACGAUCGGCGAAGAGAGGAGAGAGGGGAAGUAUUUGAAGCAAAGGUAGACGGUCGGCGAAUAUGCACAGGCAUCGUCGGUAUUUCGACGCGACUCUACGGUGUCCGGUCGUAAACGAAAGUGAAAAUAAAUUGGUCGGACGGUUCCACCGCAAAAUGCAAUUUACUCCAUUCAUGGAGCCGGGUCCCUCGCGCGCGUGUGUAUGCACGCAUGUACGCACGCGCGUGUGUAUGCACGCAUGUACGCACGCGCGUGUAUAUAUGCAUGCAUGAAUGUAUGUGUGCGCGUGCGCGCAUCGAAACGGGAGAUCUCGGGGCCUCGACCACGGCAGACACCUAAAUUAUGUUUCACGGCCGAUUCUCAAUUCACUUUCUUUCUCGCCUCUUACUCGCGUCUCUUUCCUCGAAACGGUUCGAGGAAUGCACGCGCCGCCUCCGGUGCACCGAUCCGACAUCGGUAUCAUUUUUUUUUCCCCCCUCCCCUCCCCUCCCCUUCCCUCGAUCCACCUUUGUCAUUUCUGUCAACUGACGUUCAACCGAGCAAAAACAAAAAAAAAAAGAAAGGAAAAAAAUCUUCCUUUUAUCCCGGCGUGACGUGACGUGUUGCGUGUCGACUCGUCGUCGUCGUCUUCGUCGUCUUCGUCGUCCUUACGCGUGGAGCGGAGCCUCUGACUCCGAGUUUAAACUUUUUUACCCUUGGAUCGCGAAUAAAUUAACCGCGUGGCAUCUAUGGUAUUAUUAUGUUAUUACCGCGGCUACUCGCCGCGAUGUUCCUUCUCCUCUCUCUCUCUCUCUCUCUCUCUCCCCUUCUUUCUUUUUCUCUUUCUCUCUCUGUCGUCUAUUAAUUUAUCGUAUUCUUUUACGGCGCGUAACGCUCAAGGGUCGGCCACUAUAAACGGAUGCUUAAUAACAUCCUCGGAUAUACCUAGCGGAUAAUGAUUACGAGUCAAACAUUUCUACGUUUACUUUGGGACCCCGGCCUCCCAUUACACCCAUGAAUAUUACUCUUCAUAAAGUCGGGUGUCACGCGCCGUACGAACCGUAUUUACGAUCCCCUCCUCUCCCUCCGCCCGCCCGCCCGCUCGCGCAUGCCCAACGACGACGACGACGAGCGAUACCUCGUGGCCGUGGUUACUUAUUAAGUCCUCCUCUAUUAACUUCCUUCUCCUUAAUGUUGGCACCACUGACUCGAGUCAGUGGCAACGGUCGCUCCAAGUUGCCUGCUUUCGGACACGAAAAACGGAUCGGAUUCCGACGUCGUCUUUGGACGACGGAUCGUGUACGGAACGAACGCGUGUUCGUCGCGUGUGGACGAGGCAUAAGCUUCUCGAAAGUGAGAAUCGUUCGGGAAUCGCCGUCUUCCUCGUUUCCAUCUUCCUCUUCCUCCGGCGACGAGUCUCCCCUCCCCCUCCCCCUCGAUCGCGCUUGAAUAUUAAAAGUAUGGAGCGGAUCGAGAGGCACGUGUGUCGCGUGGGAGAUACACGUGGUAUGAAAAGUCCACCCACCAGGAGGAGUUGAAACCGCAUUCCAGGUGACGUCUGGCGCCAAAAGUGGUUCCCAACUGCGCGCCACGAGGAUAGUUGUUGAACGCGUUGCGAAUGAUUGGCAACAUGGACGAACUUUCUAACCAAGAAGGGAACCAUCGCCAGGCGAAGGUUAACGAGUAUAACAGUAUAUCGCGAUUGGACGGUGGAUCGGUCGAUGCACGAUGAUAAUUUAUCUUCUCAGAGACGACGUGGAAACGACGAACUCGAAUGGGAGGAAGGAAGCGUGAAGGAAGGGGGAAAGUAGGUGGGCGACCUUUCGACGCCCCCGUAGGACGUUUUUCUUCUCCUCCUUUCUUUCCUUUUCUUUUCUUUUCUUUUUUUCACGGAAUAAGAAGAAGUAAUAAUAACAAUGAGAAAUGUGACGAGCGGAUGUGACAAUGGCGCCCCCUCCCUCCCCUGGAUAAUGACAAUGUUUCAGGCUGAACGCGAAAGAAUGCCAGUUAGAAGAAGAAGAAGAAGAAGAAGAAGAAGUAGAAGGUCGUUGGCCUUCGUACGACAUUCGUUCGUGUAAUUGUUAUGCACCAGACAUCGGGCGAGGCCGUGUUGAACCGCGAAAGAUACCCAAAGAAAGAAAGAUUCCGUGAAAGAAGAAUUAUCAUUCACCUUGGAGUGAAAGAGAGGGGAGGAGGCGGCUUUUCCACUGAACCACAGAUCGGUAUUCGGUGUUGCGCACGCGCCGUAGAAGAGGGAAACGAUCUCGUAACGAGCCGUUGGAGGAAUUUAAAUCUGCUCGGACGAAAUUAACUCAACAUUAUUGGAUUGGCUAUGCUCCUGUUUGUUACGAUCUGCAUUAAUAAUUAAUAAUGUGACAGGAUUUGGGGAAACAGGUUUUAUAAAAAUAUUUCUGAGAUAUUUGCCGAUCGAAUUAAUCUUAAUCUCUUUUUUUUUUUCUGGAUCAAAUCUUCUGAUUUAUUUUUCAUUUAUUAAAAAUGUAGUAAAUUCUCCUCGUUAAAGUGUCCUAAAAUUUUUCCCAAAAUUCGUUGAUUAUCAAGUCAUCUUGAAGAAUAAUAAAAUGAUUUAAAUAUAAUCCAGAUCCUGUUCCACGAGAAUGAAAUCUAUUUUGCAAAAAUAGAAGAGGAUACUCUUAAACAUCCUUAUCUGAAAACUUAAUUGGGAAAUUGGUUCGAAUGGAAUUAAGCGAAGGAAUAAAUUGUUGAACGAUCGGUUCGUUGCGGUUGGUAAGCCAUCGUACGUAGAUGGAAAACUUCUUUGACGUUUUUCUCUCGACUUACUUAUUACUUUUUGCGAUCUAUCCUCCGCCCAAUGUUAUUGCGUAAUAUUAUUACAUUUUCUCUGUUUUCGAUUUACAUGGUUAUCCAAUGGGAAACCGCGGCUGUGUGAAAGUAAAGCGUAAGCGAUCCGGACCUUUUAGAAAGCCGACACGGCCGAUUGUUCCCCAGAGUAGUAAAUAUAUCGAUACACGGCCAAAAAUUGCGCAGCUACCUAUUGUUAGGCGGAAACAAAGCGUAGGUAACUUCUGUCUGCCUGUGCGGGUCGCCUCCCGCUCGCUAGCGAUGGGAUCGAGUUCCUCGCAGGUUCGAACAAGAUUCAAAGAAUCCUUUUACGUACGUGUCUCUAUAAAAAAAGAUAUACGUAAAAGUAUUCUAAGACCAAGAUCAAAACAACAAUUUUAAUUCUCUCAAAUUUACUUAUUUACUAAUUUUCAUUCACAUACUCUUAUAAAACUAUUACUAUAAUAUUCUUACGAAACAUGUAUAAUUUUAUAAUUCCAUUUGUCAUAAAAGUUUCGAUUGUUUCGUUUUACAAGCAAUCGAAAUAUUCGUUCAGAGGAAAUAAAUCUUUUAAAUUUGAGCUUUUUAUUAUUAGAAUCUAAAUCAAUCGAAUCGUAUUUAUAAACGUUCGUUGAAAGUCGACUUGUUUUAUUUUUCUCGGUUUGUUCGAACCCAUCACUACCGGUCCGCCGUUACGCGAAAGGAUUCUGCGCCCGAGUCGGUGCGAGCAGCAUUGUGACGACCCAGUAGGAAAACACGCGGAACAACUCGCAUUCUUUCGCAGCCAGACGCAGGGAUCGCGCGUCGCAAUAAGGCGGGCGGUGAGAGGGAAGGAAAAAGGGGGACGUUUGGUAUAGUUGCGCGUAGCCGAGCGUUGCACCCGAUCGAGGUGUUGUUGCUUUGCAAUCGUUACAAAUCGCGCGCGAACGUAGCAAUCGGCUUCGAACGAGCCGUGGCAAAUCGGAACGGCCUCCGAUAAAUCCCGUGGCUUGGAUCGCCACGCCACCGGAACAAUCGUUCCCGAGCAAACUUUUUUAUUCUCUCGAACAAAAGAUCGGCGAAUGUUCAUUUCGCGAUGAAUGGCUUAGCGGCGAGAUGCAUCGACGAUAAAAAAAAAAAAAAAUAAAAAACACGAGUAACCUAAAUCUAAGAGGAAUCGAGACACGAGAUUUCCUCCUUCUUGGAAAAUUAAUCGUUUAAUUGUCGUUAAUCAGCGUACACUAGUAGCUUCGUUGGUCUCGUUUUUCUUUCUUCUUUUCUCAGAAGAUUAAAAAAAAUUCGUAAGAAUUUUCGGAAAAUUUAAGAUUAUCGAAAUGAGAAAAUGACGAAGUUUGAUGAUUAGAAUUUGACGUAUCGAUUUAUAUCGUAUCCACUACGAACUAUGCAGAUGCUAUUAUUUAUGUAAUAAUGCAUACUCUCGAUAUUUAACCUCGUUCGACGCAGAUGAACCGCGUUACGACAUGUGUUUUUACGAUCAAAGCGAUUCAAAGAAUAGUAGCGAUAAGGGCCACAUGGUGUAUGGUAUCGGCCAAUUAAUUCGCAUGAAUCGGAUCACGGAUAAAAGAUUGUUGAUCGUUCCCGAUCCGCAAGUCUCGCAGUCUAGUUCGUUAAUUGAUCUUUAAACGCAACACGUAACGUUGCGAACGUUCCAUCCAUCGAAAAAUAAUUGACGCGUGACGCGAUGUUUCGAUCCCUCGAUAAAUUAGAGAACUGACUGACCAAUCGAACGAGAGAUGAAUUAUUAUAUCGUCGAAUCCAUUUUUUAAAAUUUCCUUAUUUAUA
RNAcentral lists this long non-coding RNA (4824 nucleotides) under Apis mellifera (honey bee). RNAcentral describes it as "uncharacterized LOC113218525". Lineage: Eukaryota; Metazoa; Arthropoda; Insecta; Hymenoptera; Apidae. The record is from RNAcentral.